UACUGUCGUGACGGUGAGUGUGCACACU
Molecule: non-coding RNA, 28 nt
Filed under: Bombyx mori (domestic silkworm)
Lineage: Eukaryota; Metazoa; Arthropoda; Insecta; Lepidoptera; Bombycidae
Source: RNAcentral